CGGUAAGCACCUCAGAGAUAGCAGAAGAGAGCAAUAAGGGUAACCCCUUAGCGUCUUUUACCCUGGAUCGUAAGGAGCUAAGCCCAGGCGUGCCGAGGAAGCCGGCAGAAGCGAGUGUGGAAGAGCUUGGCGUCCCGUCGUUUUCGGUCUUUGUUCCAGGGCAGGCGGGCGAGGACGGAAGGACAGAGCGAGUGAGAGCAGCCUUGAGGGAGGGCGAGAAGGACAGGCGGCGUGACAGCGGCCGGCUGAGCGCUGCAGCGGAGCAUUCGGCAGCGAGGACGAGCGAGCCCCGCGGCCCGGCUGCGGCAGCAUCCCCUCAGCAGCAGUUUGAGGAGCAGAGUCGGCACGGUCUGGAUGCGUCUGCGUGGAGUCAGAAAGCCAACCUGGUUGAAAUGGACAUGCGACUCCUACAUCUACGUGAGAUUGCCCUGACUUCAACUGUUCAAGAUGAGAGCUGCAUCCAAGCACUUUGUUAAGUGGGUCAGCCCUGGGCUGUGACUGCUGCCUCGAGGAAGCCUGUUCUGAUAUCUCAGCCUUCCUUAGAGUGAGCUUUUACUUCAUCUCCAGCCUGUGCUUCUUCUGACCUAACAAACAGAAAAGCUGCCUGGGAAAAGAAGCUGAGCCCACCUUGCAAGUGCUCCCUUUCAGCUAAGUUGAAUGGAAGGAAUCUGAGCCCUUCUUUGGACGCUGCCUGAGAGCAUUAUUGUUGUCUUUUAAUUAUGUUCUGUUAAUAUAACAGCCAUUUAUUGACUUAAUGUAUUAGACAGCUGAGGUUAAUGGAUGUACUGUUGUAUUGUUCUAAUAGUGGAAUGGAAUAAAACCUGUUGAAUUACCCUGAACUUGAACA
This 847-nucleotide long non-coding RNA is filed under the name Coturnix japonica (Japanese quail). RNAcentral describes it as "lncRNA (ENSCJPG00005015404.1)". The record is from RNAcentral. Lineage: Eukaryota; Metazoa; Chordata; Aves; Galliformes; Phasianidae.